Molecule: ribosomal RNA, 856 nt
Filed under: Mycobacterium tuberculosis
Lineage: Bacteria; Bacillati; Actinomycetota; Actinomycetes; Mycobacteriales; Mycobacteriaceae
Description: bacterial SSU rRNA
Rfam family: Bacterial small subunit ribosomal RNA
Source: RNAcentral
GUGGCGAACGGGUGAGUAACACGUGGGUGAUCUGCCCUGCACUUCGGGAUAAGCCUGGGAAACUGGGUCUAAUACCGGAUAGGACCACGGGAUGCAUGUCUUGUGGUGGAAAGCGCUUUAGCGGUGUGGGAUGAGCCCGCGGCCUAUCAGCUUGUUGGUGGGGUGACGGCCUACCAAGGCGACGACGGGUAGCCGGCCUGAGAGGGUGUCCGGCCACACUGGGACUGAGAUACGGCCCAGACUCCUACGGGAGGCAGCAGUGGGGAAUAUUGCACAAUGGGCGCAAGCCUGAUGCAGCGACGCCGCGUGGGGGAUGACGGCCUUCGGGUUGUAAACCUCUUUCACCAUCGACGAAGGUCCGGGUUCUCUCGGAUUGACGGUAGGUGGAGAAGAAGCACCGGCCAACUACGUGCCAGCAGCCGCGGUAAUACGUAGGGUGCGAGCGUUGUCCGGAAUUACUGGGCGUAAAGAGCUCGUAGGUGGUUUGUCGCGUUGUUCGUGAAAUCUCACGGCUUAACUGUGAGCGUGCGGGCGAUACGGGCAGACUAGAGUACUGCAGUGGAGACUGGAAUUCCUGGUGUAGCGGUGGAAUGCGCAGAUAUCAGGAGGAACACCGGUGGCGAAGGCGGGUCUCUGGGCAGUAACUGACGCUGAGGAGCGAAAGCGUGGGGAGCGAACAGGAUUAGAUACCCUGGUAGUCCACGCCGUAAACGGUGGGUACUAGGUGUGGGUUUCCUUCCUUGGGAUCCGUGCCGUAGCUAACGCAUUAAGUACCCCGCCUGGGGAGUACGGCCGCAAGGCUAAAACUCAAAGGAAUUGACGGGGGCCCGCACAAGCGGCGGAGCAUGUGGAUUAA